AAAGUAUAGUUUAAUAAAACCCCUCGCUUACACCGAGAAACUAUCUGUGCAAACCGGAUUACUUUGAG
RNAcentral lists this transfer RNA (68 nucleotides) under Limnonectes megastomias. RNAcentral's name for it is "tRNA-Val". It matches the Rfam family "tRNA". From Rfam's summary of the family: Transfer RNA (tRNA) molecules are approximately 80 nucleotides in length. Their secondary structure includes four short double-helical elements and three loops (D, anti-codon, and T loops). The record is from RNAcentral. Lineage: Eukaryota; Metazoa; Chordata; Amphibia; Anura; Dicroglossidae.